GAAGUAUUUGUCCCGGUAAGCAUUUCAAAAGCUUGCAACUGGUGUUUGAAACUCCAUCACUUCAGAACGCCAACCCUCAUCUUGCUUUUGUUGUCACCUCGACAAAUAUCAGAAAGUUUUUGUACGCCCCUGGGCCUCAUAGACCCAGCAGAAGGCAGUAAAAUAUUUUGGAUAGGAUGUUGUAUCCUGCUUUUUGUUUACUCUAACCA
This 209-nucleotide long non-coding RNA is filed under the name Elaeis guineensis (African oil palm). RNAcentral describes it as "long non-coding RNA (EGUI_LNC018332)". The record is from RNAcentral. Lineage: Eukaryota; Viridiplantae; Streptophyta; Magnoliopsida; Arecales; Arecaceae.